This 447-nucleotide ribosomal RNA is filed under the name uncultured bacterium. Its description in RNAcentral is "partial 16S ribosomal RNA". It matches the Rfam family "Bacterial small subunit ribosomal RNA", at positions 29 to 523 of the family's 1533-position model. The record is from RNAcentral.
AGUGAACGCUGGCGGCAGGCUUAACACAUGCAAGUCGAACGCACCGCAAGGUGAGUGGCAGACGGGUGAGUAACGCGUGGGAACCUUCCCUUUGGUUCAGGAUAGCUCCGGGAAACUGGAAUUAAUACUGGAUAAGAUCUACGGAUGAAAGAUUUAUCGCCGCGGGAUGGGCCCGCGUAAGAUUAGCUAGUUGGUGAGGUAAUGGCUCACCAAGGCAAUGAUCUUUAGCUGGUCUGAGAGGAUGAUCAGCCACACUGGAACUGAGACACGGUCCAGACUCCUACGGGAGGCAGCAGUGAGGAAUAUUGGACAAUGGGCGCAAGCCUGAUCCAGCCAUGCCGCGUGAGUGAUGAAGGCCUUAGGGUUGUAAAACUCUUUUAGUAGGGAAAAUAAUGAUGGUACCUACAGAAAAAGCUCCGGCUAACUUCGUGCCAGCCGCCGCCGUAA